Molecule: unclassified non-coding RNA, 43 nt
Filed under: Leishmania tarentolae
Lineage: Eukaryota; Euglenozoa; Kinetoplastea; Trypanosomatida; Trypanosomatidae
Description: gND8XIII
Source: RNAcentral
ACUAGAGUAACACAACAUAGAGAGUGCAUGUAGAGGUAAAUGA